RNAcentral lists this unclassified non-coding RNA (275 nucleotides) under Ascomycota sp. RNAcentral describes it as "partial contains small subunit ribosomal RNA, internal transcribed spacer 1, and 5.8S ribosomal RNA". The stretch from base 1 to 47 matches the Rfam family "Eukaryotic small subunit ribosomal RNA", at positions 1785 to 1831 of the family's 1831-position model. The record is from RNAcentral. Lineage: Eukaryota; Fungi; Ascomycota.
AAAGUCGUAACAAGGUUUCCGUAGGUGAACCUGCGGAAGGAUCAUUAAAGAAUGUCACCUUUUGGUACAAUCUUAUCAUCCCUUUGUCUACCAUCCCUGUUGCUUCCAUGGUGCCAGUCCGUGCUACUUCUUUAGAAGUGCCGGCUUCGUGUAUACCAGCGUGUGAAAACCUGGUUCGAAAGUGCCCAUGGGUAUUAAAAAAUUUGACUUGUGAAAAUUGUCUGAAUAAAUGUGAGAAUGAAAUAAAACUUUCAACAACGGAUCUCUAGGCUCUU